RNAcentral lists this ribosomal RNA (847 nucleotides) under uncultured bacterium. Its description in RNAcentral is "bacterial SSU rRNA". It matches the Rfam family "Bacterial small subunit ribosomal RNA", at positions 9 to 906 of the family's 1533-position model. The record is from RNAcentral.
GAGUUUGAUCAUGGCUCAGAACGUACGCUGGCGGCACGCCUAACACAUGCAAGUCGAACGAAGUAGCAAUACUUAGUGGCAGACGGGUGAGUAACAUGUAGGUAUCUGCCCUUUGGCCUGGAAUAACACGAGGAAACUUGUGCUAAUACCGGAUAAGUCUUUACGGAGAAAGCUUUAUGCACCAUUGGAUGAGCCUGCACUUGAUUAGUUUGUUGGUGGGGUAAUGGCCUACCAAGACUGUGAUCAGUAGCUGAUUUGAGAGGAUGAUCAGCCACAUUGGGACUGAGACACGGCCCAAACUCCUACGGGAGGCAGCAGUGGGGAAUCUUGCACAAUGGAGGAAACUCUGAUGCAGCGAUGCCGCGUGAGUGAAGAAGGCCCUUGGGUUGUAAAGCUCCUUCGUCGGGGAAGAAAAUGACUGUACCCGAAUAAGAAGGUCCGGCUAACUUCGUGCCAGCAGCCGCGGUAAUACGAAGGGACCUAGCGUAGUUCGGAAUUACUGGGCUUAAAGAGUUCGUAGGUGGUUGAAAAAGUUAGUGGUGAAAUCCCAGAGCUUAACUCUGGAACUGCCAUUAAAACUUUUCAGCUAGAGUAUGAUAGAGGAAAGCAGAAUUUCUAGUGUAGAGGUGAAAUUCGUAGAUAUUAGAAGAAUACCAAUUGCGAAGGCAGCUUUCUGGAUCAUUACUGACACUGAGGAACGAAAGCAUGGGUAGCGAAGAGGAUUAGAUACCCUCGUAGUCCAUGCCGUAAACGAUGUGUGUUAGACGUUGGAAAUUUAUUUUCAGUGUCGCAGGAAACCGAUAAACACACCGCCUGGGGAGUACGACCGCAAGGUUAAAACUCAAUG